AUACUUUCUUAGCAGGGGAGACAUCAUGAUCAUGUUGACGGUAUUCCCAGGGCAAGGCUCACCCAUUGCACUUGGGGUGUGCCGACCCCUGCGAUUUCCCAGUGAGAACCAGUGAGCCCCCAGCCUGCUCCUUACCUCUCUGGGAAUGACAGUUUCUCCAUUUC
Cricetulus griseus (Chinese hamster) is the source of this 164-nucleotide small nuclear RNA. Its record names the gene U1. It matches the Rfam family "U1 spliceosomal RNA". Rfam says of the family: U1 is a small nuclear RNA (snRNA) component of the spliceosome (involved in pre-mRNA splicing). Its 5' end forms complementary base pairs with the 5' splice junction, thus defining the 5' donor site of an intron. There are significant differences in sequence and secondary structure between metazoan and yeast U1 snRNAs, the latter being much longer (568 nucleotides as compared to 164 nucleotides in human). NCBI's taxonomy places the organism in Eukaryota, Metazoa, Chordata, Mammalia, Rodentia, Cricetidae. The record is from Ensembl.